RNAcentral lists this transfer RNA (73 nucleotides) under Takifugu rubripes (torafugu). It matches the Rfam family "tRNA". From Rfam's summary of the family: Transfer RNA (tRNA) molecules are approximately 80 nucleotides in length. Their secondary structure includes four short double-helical elements and three loops (D, anti-codon, and T loops). Lineage: Eukaryota; Metazoa; Chordata; Actinopteri; Tetraodontiformes; Tetraodontidae. RNAcentral also lists the same sequence under 1 other name. The record is from Rfam by way of RNAcentral.
GGGCCAGUGGUGCAAAGGACAAUGCGUCUGACUAUGGGUCAGAAGAUUCUAGGUUCAACUCCUAGCUGCCUUG